This 216-nucleotide ribosomal RNA is filed under the name Glomeromycotina sp. RNAcentral describes it as "partial small subunit ribosomal RNA". The stretch from base 40 to 216 matches the Rfam family "Eukaryotic small subunit ribosomal RNA", at positions 686 to 864 of the family's 1831-position model. The record is from RNAcentral. Lineage: Eukaryota; Fungi; Glomeromycota.
GGGUCAGUAGGUUGGUCGUGCCACCGGUACGUACUGGUCUCACUGAUUCCUCCUUCCUGAAGAACCGUAAUGCCAUUAAUUUGGUGUUGCGGGGAAACAGGACUGUUACUUUGAAAAAAUUAGAGUGUUUAGAGCAAGCUAACGCUUGAAUACAUUAGCAUGGAAUAAUGAAGUAGGACGAUCGAUCCUAUUUUGUCGGUUUCUAGGAUUGACGUA